Molecule: unclassified non-coding RNA, 1175 nt
Filed under: Hevea brasiliensis (rubber tree)
Lineage: Eukaryota; Viridiplantae; Streptophyta; Magnoliopsida; Malpighiales; Euphorbiaceae
Source: RNAcentral
AGAGAAAUCACUAGCCAAAGCCGAAUCCGGGGACCAGCCGGAAGCUUUACGACUCAAAGUUCUAGCCGAGCAGAAAUACAACUCCGGCAAUCUCAAAUCAGCUCUCAAGUACGCCAAGCGAGCCCACAGUCUCCACCCCGACGUAGACGGCGUUUCUGAAAUGCUCACCGCUUUUAAAAUCCUCCAUACAGGCACCGUUCCGGCGGAAACCCCAGCUGCUCCCACCGCCGGAGAUGCAGCAACUACCACAACUUCAACUCUGCCUGACUACUAUAGAAUCCUGCAAAUAGAGCGAUUCUCACACAUCAAUACUAUCAAAAAGCAGUACAGGAAGCUGGCGUUAACUCUUCACCCUGAUAAGAAUCCUUUUGCGGCAUCUGAAGAGGCUUUUAAGCUUGUUGGCGAAGCGUUUAGGGUCUUGUCAGAUAAGAUUAGGAGGAAGGAAUAUGAUGUGAAGCUUAGAGUUGCUAUGCAGUCAGCUGUUUUGGCUGAGGAGGGUGAAACGACGACAUUUUGGACCGCGUGUUCGACUUGUCGAUUGUUGCAUCAGUUUGAAAAGAAGUAUUUAGGGCAUAAUUUGAUGUGCCCAAGUUGUAAAGAAACUUUUGAGGCAACUGAAGUUUCAGAAAAUGGUGACAAUGAAGAGGGAUGUAAAGGUUCGAUGGAAACAAGAGGGAGUGCCAGGACUAAGGCUAGGAAAAGUGUGAGCUUUGGUUCUUCAAGAAGUAGUGAGUUAGGGAGGAAGAGGAAUGUGGCGAGUGUUGCGGAGGUUAAUAAGAGGCCAAAUGGAAAAAUGACAAGAAAUGAUGAUGCAACUGGUGUUGGAACUGAGGUGGAUAUGGAAGGAGAUGUUGAGAGCGACGAUGGUUUGAUUAAGGAAUUGAAAUCAAAGACUAAUGGUAAGGUGAGAAGUGUAGGUGAAGGGGAAGAUACAAUGACAUUAGCUGAAAUGCAGUUGUUAGUGAAGAAGAAGGUGAAUAAGGAAAAGAUCCCAGUAAAAGAUAAGGGGGAAAUAAGUGAGAAAAGUAAGGAGAUGGAUUUGAUAGAAAAGGAAGAUGAUGUGGAGAUGGAGAUGCUGAUUGCAAGGGUGAGAGAGAAAAGGAUGAAGCGUGCGACAUUAAAGGGAGAUGGUACAGAAGAUGGAGGAAGAAGAAUGGAUUUAAGUAGCAACAGGG